UUUACAUAUGUGUGCCAAUUUUCGUGCAUGUACGUGAAACACAGCUCGAGGGCUGUUGAUUUUUUUGGGAUAGGUGGCGCUGUCGAGCCAUUUUGCCACACCCUCUUCUGAAACCUAUAUCAGACGUAAAUUUUCACCAGGUCUGACGCGUGUGCAAAGUUUCAGGACUUUUCGAGCAUGUUUAGGCCCUCAAAAAUGCGAUUCAUUUUGGAGAAGAAGAAGAAGAAGAAGAAGAAGAAGAAGAAUAAUAAACGAAGCAGAUACAAGAGGGUCCUCACACCAUCGGUGCUCGGGCCCUAAUAAUAAACAAAGCAGAUACAAUAGGGUCCUCACACCAUCGGUGCUCGGGCCCUAAUAAU
Long non-coding RNA from Cyprinus carpio carpio, 359 nucleotides. The record is from Ensembl. Lineage: Eukaryota; Metazoa; Chordata; Actinopteri; Cypriniformes; Cyprinidae.